AAGAAAUGAAGAUGCUAAGAUUGGUCUCGGUGUUGAAAUGAAGCCACUUAGAUCCAACUCUGAUCUUGAUAAGGCA
Molecule: small nucleolar RNA, 76 nt
Organism: Ursus americanus (American black bear)
Lineage: Eukaryota; Metazoa; Chordata; Mammalia; Carnivora; Ursidae
Source: Ensembl